GAUUUUUAAGGCAAAGUUUUCUAGACAUGUAUUUUCAACAGAUUUUUUGUUCUGACUUCUUAGACUGCAAAUAUCCAGUUUUUAAAAAUACAGCUUUGAGUUUUCAAAACGAAGAAGAAAUUCGGAACAUCAAAUCAAAUUUUCUAAAAUUCAAAGCGCAGAAAUUCAGAUCGUACAGAAAGAAGGUCAGAGGUCAUUCACAGGGAGAUCAUCUCCGAAAAGAACGAAGGGUUUUGUCCAAUCACAGAGCUGCAGCAGAUUUCUGGCGCGAGCGUCCAGCUCAGGAGCUCAUUCUUCUGCUGAUCAUGAAUCCAGAGGUUCUUCUGUCUUCAGUCUGGACGAGGUGUGAGCGUCAUAACUCCAGGGACGGAUGAACACACGGCUCUACUGGACACGUACUCGGAGAACUAGACCAGAGGGACCCCGCCGAAAUACUGCUGCUCCCGGAACCAGAUUUCAGACAGACACCUCAGAUUUCUGAGACAAAUGGAGCUUGAAUGUAAUUUACCAAAGAAAAGGAAAUAUGAGGCAGAACGCACGCUUGCUGUUCUCUGGUGAAUUCUCUCUUCAUGAACAACAAUGUAGAGCUGUGCACACAAUGUACAGAUACUUCUAGAGCAGAUAUGAGGGAGACUUCAGUCACGUUUGGAGCACGCUCUUUCACAGAUGUCUGUGGAUGUGGACUUCUUACAAUUGAUCUGUGUUCAGGAGCUGGUUUUCCUGAGUGCUGUAUCCUCCAGGUCAUCAUUCCUGUGGACAGAUGGGAAGACUUCACUGGUCUGCAUCAUGCUGUUACUUUAGAGAGACACAGAAACGAGACGCAUGUUGUGACGACACGAUUGGAGCACUCUCUCUUCUGGAGAGGAGCAUUUUGAUAAAUAAAUACACCAUAUUACAUUCAUUGUAAUGUUUAAUCUAUAUUUAAUACAUCUUUACAUUUUUUUUAAACUUAUGUAAAAAUAGUUUUGUAACUUUAAUUUAAUGAAAUGAUCCUUGUUUACAAUUUAAGUGUUUCUAUAUAAAUUAAAUUUGAAUCUUCAAUAUUAUAAUAAUGUAGUAGCAACUAAGCUGCUAUGUACCACAUACAUAUAAUAUAAUAUAAAUAUUUGUGUCAAUACUCAGUCCUAAUUCAACUCAAUUCAGAUUUGUAUAUACAUCUGUGUGGUGUAUGUGUGUGUUACUCCUGGUUUUUAUUUCUUUAGAUUGAGACUGCAGACACUACAGCCUUGCUUGAGCUUUCUGAAAGAAUCGUAGCAUGUGGUACACAGGAUCCUAACAUGUGAUGAAAGGAAGACAUUGUCAGGUGUAGUAUCUGUGAUUCUGUCCAUCUGACUCUCCUCCUUUCUCUUCAAUCCACACAUCAGGGUUAGAUGUUUUUGGUACAUUAUACUCAUUCGUAGACUCU
This is a long non-coding RNA of Carassius auratus (goldfish), 1405 nucleotides long. RefSeq lists it as uncharacterized. The transcript has 3 exons. Lineage: Eukaryota; Metazoa; Chordata; Actinopteri; Cypriniformes; Cyprinidae. The record is from RefSeq and is a predicted model, not a curated record.